ACUGCAGCCAGCCGAUGUGUUGGAAUUAAUUGGGCCAGGAGGCCGCCGGUCCCCUGGCUUCUGCGGUCAGUCUUUGUGGAUUUUUCUCUCGCUCUCUCCCAGCAAGUGCUGGGGCUGAGGGAUGUAUCAGUCCUUCCUCUGCAUGCAUUUCAAACUAGUAGAUGAAAGCUGCUGCUGGAACCAGCCUAAUUGGAGAGAAUUGCAGUUUAGAGGCCAAGAGCAAAGAUCUUCUCAACUGAAUUCCUUCACUGCGUCACAGGAGGCCGAUAGCUGAUAACUGGAUUUACAAGGUGCCCAUUCAAGAUGCAGAAAUAAGAGGAUGGCACACUUCACGAGACGGAUGCCUAAGGGCCCACAGCAAAGGAGAGAACGGCCCAGGACAGAACCGCUGAAGCCAUAUGCCAGAUGGCCCGUUCCUCCUUGGAAACGGCUUCUCUCGGAUGUGUGACAGCAACAAGGGUCUGACGGACACAGACUGCUGACUGUUUGGAUUCCAGUCUCAUCUUUUAUUUUUCCCUUAACAUCUGCUAUUGACUGUUUUAGGUUUAUUUUAGUAAUUCAUUUCUAUUUUUCUUUUCUUAUUGUAUGCAUCAUGUAUGGUGUCUUAAACUCUAAGACAGAGAAUGAAGGGGUGGAUGGAUACACGAACAAGAAAAGCUUGUUGGGGGUUAUGGUGACAGUGGUGUAAUGAUGACGUCUUGUUGGGGUGCACUUCACCAACCCCUUCUAAGUCGUGAAGAUGGUGGCAGUCCUUGAGGCCUCCCUUUCUCCUAGGAAGGGGGUGGUUGGGGACGGCAUCUGUGGUGGCUGGUCUUAACUGCCUACUUCGUGGACAAUCACAGUGGAAACCUAACUCUGGGUGGACUUGCAAUGGCGUUUUCAGAGGGGUUUAGCUGAGAGAAGGAAGACCUGCUCUGACUGUGAGCCAGGCCACCUGACUGAAUCAGUCAGGAGUGACUGAUGACGUCACCGUGGAGUGGCGCUUCAGAGAAAAGGAGCUGAACACCAGCAUUUGCUGUGGGAUGGUCUUUAUGUCAAAUGUGUUGCUGAUUGGUCAAUGAAUAAAUCACUGAUUGGCAGUGGCCAGGCAGGAAGUGUAGGCGGGACAAGGAGGAGAAUAGAGCUGGGAAGUGGAAGGCUGAGUCAGAGAGACACUGCCAGCCGCCAUCAGGAUAAGGAAGAUGUAAAGUACCGGUAAGCCACAAGCCAUGUGGCAAGGUAUAGAUUAAUAGAAAUGGAUUAAUUUAAGCUGUAAGAACAGUUAGCAAGAAGCCUGCCACGGCCAUACAGUUUGAAACCAAUAUAAGUCUCUGUGUUUACUUGAUCGGGUUUGAGCGGCUUGGGACUGGCGGGUGAGAGAUUUAUCCUGACUGUGGGCCAGGCAGAAAAACUCGAGCAACAAGCAUUCAUCUUUCUCUGAUUCCCAGAUGCAGACACGAUGUGUCCAGGUGUCUCAGGCUUUGUCACCAUGGCAGGAGUCGUGCCGGGGACUCCACACUGGGAUGGACUGUACCUCCAAACUCAGAGCCGGAUGGAGGCCUUCCUCCCUUAAAUUGCUUAUGCCAGAUGUAUUGUCACAGCAGAGAGAAAAAUGACCGAUACAAAUAAUGACCGAACCGUUAUCCGACAGUGGACGCUCGGGGGUUUCUAAGACAUGGCUGUGGAGGCGAGAUGGUGGACAGAGGAUACAGUGACAGGUCCUUGCGGUUGUUGAGAUGGGGUACUCCAGAGGAAAAUGGACACCAAGGAAACUGUCCUAAGUGAAGAUGACAGGAUUUUAUCAGUGCUGUUCGGGUACCCUAAUCUGAAGAAAAAUUUUUUGGGGGAAACUAAGAUGUGUGUCUCUUAAGUGUCUCCACGGGGAAACUUGACCCAGAUUACUUAUCACAAAUGGAUUCAGUAGAAUGCUGGGUGAAGGUGGGGUCUCCCGGACCAGAAGCAUUCAAAGACCAUGCAGCCUCAGUAGGCCACUAAAGAACCUGACAGGACUCCUGUGGAACAGCCUCCUGCAUUCCGAGAGGAGCUAGCUCCCUGCGCCAUUUUUCAUUACCUCACAAUCUGUCACUGUUUGAUCAGUCAAUUCAGACCCACAAUUAAAUGGGAAGAAAAAGAGUCAAAGUGAUUGUUUUACUUUUUUUGUAAGAAUUGAUUGUUCGGCGCGGACAAAAAUGUUGAUCCCGUUUUGCAUGUGGAGAUAGUCAAUUUAGAAGGACUGUUCUUGCCUAAGCCCAGGGUGACAGAAAUGAAAUCUGACAUUGCAGCCGAGGCUGGCAUGAGGGAGAAGGUGAAUGAAUUACCAGCUCCUUAGAGCUUUUUCCUCGGGCUUCUCGGCAUUCUGCAAUCUGGUGACUUCAGCAGAGUGGCGUCAAUUAUUGACAAUUUAAUAAACAUUAAGCAAACAUAUAUAAUUGGUAGUUAUUUGAUGGUGGGGAACCACUGACUCUGUCUAGCGGGCGGAAGCCCUAGAGAUGUGGGGUAACAGAUGAAACAUGGCCCAUGGAAUAAGGACCAGCAGUGUCUUAGAGUAUUUACCUUCAUUAUAUAGCCAAGGAAGUUAAAGAGAACUGAGUGAUCAACACUUUCCCUUUUAAGUUCCAAACCCUAGCCAGGAGGAAGAGAGUCCAACAUGAUGAAGCAGAAAGUCUCUUUCUUUCUGUGUUGCACACUAAAGUAGUCUUGGAGAAUGCAAAUGGCAAAAGACAAAGAAGCCCAGAAUGUUCACGAUAGUCUGGCAAUUAAAGCUGAAACCAAUAGGAAGAGAUUAGAAAAGGUGCAAACUCUUUACCCUGGGAGCAUUGUGGGUAACCCAGGCUUGUCCGGUGAAUGUAAGGCUCAUACCUCUGGGAAAAGAGAGGGAUACUGAGGGAUCUGACCAAUCACCUGAGACUGCAUCUUAAGAAGAAAUGGGUGAGCUUUGUUGCUGGAACUCUGUUGAGAGAUGGAGGAACACCCUCAGAGAAGAAGGCCUUAUGGAAAACCUACCCAGUGACCUCAAAUCACACGAUUAUUAAAUUCGCCAACUGUGUCUAUUUUUGCUGUUCCCAAGUAAUGAAUAAAAUCAUCUAAAGUGCCUAGAAAUAUGUUCUUAAGGGUUAUGAAAUAUAAAUCAAGACUCAGAAGGAUUUGGUAGCCUAUGCAGUAUUCUCAGUGUUUCUUGUGUCAACAACUGGGAUUCGGGGCAAGGGAAGUCAAGUUGGCUAACAGUAGACUCUGGAGAUGACAUUAUGGACAGGCUCUAGAUCACUGAGGCAUGACCUAAGAUGUCAAGAGGUGGGUGAUGGCUUAGUGUACCAGUGUGCAUUUCAGGAAGAGACGAAAGAAUUCGCCCAGCCAUUCACUGACCACAAUGAGAAUAUUUUAUCCAUUCAAGCCUUGCAAAUGUUCAUAACCCUUUUGAGGUGGACACUGAGAUUUGCUGAUCUAGGCAGUCCUCAGGGGAGAUGACUCAGUUGGGAAAGUGCUUGCUCUGCCAGCGUGGGGACCCGAGUUCAAUCCCUGGUAUCCGACAUAAAAAGCUGAGUGUGGUGGAAUGUGCUCGAAUUCCAGCACUGGAGGGUACAGACAGGAA
This is a long non-coding RNA of Peromyscus californicus insignis, 3568 nucleotides long. RefSeq lists it as uncharacterized. Lineage: Eukaryota; Metazoa; Chordata; Mammalia; Rodentia; Cricetidae. The transcript has 3 exons. The record is from RefSeq and is a predicted model, not a curated record.